RNAcentral lists this transfer RNA (16 nucleotides) under Orthotrichum tenellum. Its description in RNAcentral is "partial tRNA-Phe". The record is from RNAcentral. Lineage: Eukaryota; Viridiplantae; Streptophyta; Bryopsida; Orthotrichales; Orthotrichaceae.
GCCGGAGUAGCUCAGU